Molecule: ribosomal RNA, 2794 nt
Filed under: Escherichia coli
Lineage: Bacteria; Pseudomonadati; Pseudomonadota; Gammaproteobacteria; Enterobacterales; Enterobacteriaceae
Description: partial 23S ribosomal RNA
Rfam family: Bacterial large subunit ribosomal RNA
Source: RNAcentral
GGUUAAGCGACUAAGCGUACACGGUGGAUGCCCUGGCAGUCAGAGGCGAUGAAGGACGUGCUAAUCUGCGAUAAGCGUCGGUAAGGUGAUAUGAACCGUUAUAACCGGCGAUUUCCGAAUGGGGAAACCCAGUGUGUUUCGACACACUAUCAUUAACUGAAUCCAUAGGUUAAUGAGGCGAACCGGGGGAACUGAAACAUCUAAGUACCCCGAGGAAAAGAAAUCAACCGAGAUUCCCCCAGUAGCGGCGAGCGAACGGGGAGCAGCCCAGAGCCUGAAUCAGUGUGUGUGUUAGUGGAAGCGUCUGGAAAGGCGCGCGAUACAGGGUGACAGCCCCGUACACAAAAAUGCACAUGCUGUGAGCUCGAUGAGUAGGGCGGGACACGUGGUAUCCUGUCUGAAUAUGGGGGGACCAUCCUCCAAGGCUAAAUACUCCUGACUGACCGAUAGUGAACCAGUACCGUGAGGGAAAGGCGAAAAGAACCCCGGCGAGGGGAGUGAAAAAGAACCUGAAACCGUGUACGUACAAGCAGUGGGAGCACGCUUAGGCGUGUGACUGCGUACCUUUUGUAUAAUGGGUCAGCGACUUAUAUUCUGUAGCAAGGUUAACCGAAUAGGGGAGCCGAAGGGAAACCGAGUCUUAACUGGGCGUUAAGUUGCAGGGUAUAGACCCGAAACCCGGUGAUCUAGCCAUGGGCAGGUUGAAGGUUGGGUAACACUAACUGGAGGACCGAACCGACUAAUGUUGAAAAAUUAGCGGAUGACUUGUGGCUGGGGGUGAAAGGCCAAUCAAACCGGGAGAUAGCUGGUUCUCCCCGAAAGCUAUUUAGGUAGCGCCUCGUGAAUUCAUCUCCGGGGGUAGAGCACUGUUUCGGCAAGGGGGUCAUCCCGACUUACCAACCCGAUGCAAACUGCGAAUACCGGAGAAUGUUAUCACGGGAGACACACGGCGGGUGCUAACGUCCGUCGUGAAGAGGGAAACAACCCAGACCGCCAGCUAAGGUCCCAAAGUCAUGGUUAAGUGGGAAACGAUGUGGGAAGGCCCAGACAGCCAGGAUGUUGGCUUAGAAGCAGCCAUCAUUUAAAGAAAGCGUAAUAGCUCACUGGUCGAGUCGGCCUGCGCGGAAGAUGUAACGGGGCUAAACCAUGCACCGAAGCUGCGGCAGCGACACUAUGUGUUGUUGGGUAGGGGAGCGUUCUGUAAGCCUGUGAAGGUGUGCUGUGAGGCAUGCUGGAGGUAUCAGAAGUGCGAAUGCUGACAUAAGUAACGAUAAAGCGGGUGAAAAGCCCGCUCGCCGGAAGACCAAGGGUUCCUGUCCAACGUUAAUCGGGGCAGGGUGAGUCGACCCCUAAGGCGAGGCCGAAAGGCGUAGUCGAUGGGAAACAGGUUAAUAUUCCUGUACUUGGUGUUACUGCGAAGGGGGGACGGAGAAGGCUAUGUUGGCCGGGCGACGGUUGUCCCGGUUUAAGCGUGUAGGCUGGUUUUCCAGGCAAAUCCGGAAAAUCAAGGCUGAGGCGUGAUGACGAGGCACUACGGUGCUGAAGCAACAAAUGCCCUGCUUCCAGGAAAAGCCUCUAAGCAUCAGGUAACAUCAAAUCGUACCCCAAACCGACACAGGUGGUCAGGUAGAGAAUACCAAGGCGCUUGAGAGAACUCGGGUGAAGGAACUAGGCAAAAUGGUGCCGUAACUUCGGGAGAAGGCACGCUGAUAUGUAGGUGAAGUCCCUCGCGGAUGGAGCUGAAAUCAGUCGAAGAUACCAGCUGGCUGCAACUGUUUAUUAAAAACACAGCACUGUGCAAACACGAAAGUGGACGUAUACGGUGUGACGCCUGCCCGGUGCCGGAAGGUUAAUUGAUGGGGUUAGCCGCAAGGCGAAGCUCUUGAUCGAAGCCCCGGUAAACGGCGGCCGUAACUAUAACGGUCCUAAGGUAGCGAAAUUCCUUGUCGGGUAAGUUCCGACCUGCACGAAUGGCGUAAUGAUGGCCAGGCUGUCUCCACCCGAGACUCAGUGAAAUUGAACUCGCUGUGAAGAUGCAGUGUACCCGCGGCAAGACGGAAAGACCCCGUGAACCUUUACUAUAGCUUGACACUGAACAUUGAGCCUUGAUGUGUAGGAUAGGUGGGAGGCUUUGAAGUGUGGACGCCAGUCUGCAUGGAGCCGACCUUGAAAUACCACCCUUUAAUGUUUGAUGUUCUAACGUUGACCCGUAAUCCGGGUUGCGGACAGUGUCUGGUGGGUAGUUUGACUGGGGCGGUCUCCUCCUAAAGAGUAACGGAGGAGCACGAAGGUUGGCUAAUCCUGGUCGGACAUCAGGAGGUUAGUGCAAUGGCAUAAGCCAGCUUGACUGCGAGCGUGACGGCGCGAGCAGGUGCGAAAGCAGGUCAUAGUGAUCCGGUGGUUCUGAAUGGAAGGGCCAUCGCUCAACGGAUAAAAGGUACUCCGGGGAUAACAGGCUGAUACCGCCCAAGAGUUCAUAUCGACGGCGGUGUUUGGCACCUCGAUGUCGGCUCAUCACAUCCUGGGGCUGAAGUAGGUCCCAAGGGUAUGGCUGUUCGCCAUUUAAAGUGGUACGCGAGCUGGGUUUAGAACGUCGUGAGACAGUUCGGUCCCUAUCUGCCGUGGGCGCUGGAGAACUGAGGGGGGCUGCUCCUAGUACGAGAGGACCGGAGUGGACGCAUCACUGGUGUUCGGGUUGUCAUGCCAAUGGCACUGCCCGGUAGCUAAAUGCGGAAGAGAUAAGUGCUGAAAGCAUCUAAGCACGAAACUUGCCCCGAGAUGAGUUCUCCCUGAC